GGAGGAGGGGAACACCCAGCCCCAGAAACAGGGUCUCACUUUGUCACCCAGGCCGGAAGGCAGUAGUACAAGCAUGGCUCACUGGCAGCCUCAACCUCUCAGGCUCACGCAAUCCAAGCUAUCCUCCCACCAGCCUCUUCAGUAGCUGGGACUACAAGUGCCUGCCACAUCUAAUUUUUUGUAUUUUUUGUAGAGAUGGAGUUUUGCCAUGUUGCCCAGGCUGGUCUCGAACUUCUGAGCGCAAGUGAUUCAUCUGCCUUAGCCUCCCAAAGUGCUGGGAUUACAGGCAUGAGCUACUUUUUUUUUUUUAAACAGAUAAUCAACAGGGCCAAAGCAAUUAAGUCAUUUUCCCAGUCACUCGGCCAAUAAGCAGCAAGUCAAUGACCAGAACAAAUUAUACAACUUUCAGCUUCCCAUAACUGAUCUAAGCCUACAAAAAAAAUGGAUGAGACUAGGCAGAAGAAACAGUGUCACCUUCAUCCCCUGGUCAUCUAGUCAAGAACUAUGCAAAAGCUAUAUGUAACAGAAAUCUAGGACCAUAGGCUAGAGUGCCAUGGCACAAACAUGGCUCAAUGCAGCCUCAACAGCUUGGGCUCAAGCAAUUCUCCCACCUCAGCCUCCAGAGUAGCUGGGGCUACAGGCAUACGCGCCACUGUGCCUGGCUAAUUUUUUUUUUUAAACAGGGUCUUGCCAUGUACUCAGACUGGUCUCAAACUCCUAGGCUCAAGCAAUCCUCCCACCUUGGCCUCCCAAGAUGCUGGGGUUACAUGCAUGAGCCACCAUGCCCGGCCAUAUAUCCUACUAUUCUUAAAGAUUCAGUUCAAGUUCCAUCCAUGUGUGAUGUCUCCUUGACCACUCACUGCACAAUUCUCUCCCU
RNAcentral lists this non-coding RNA (877 nucleotides) under Pongo abelii (Sumatran orangutan). The record is from RNAcentral. Lineage: Eukaryota; Metazoa; Chordata; Mammalia; Primates; Hominidae.